GAUCGUCCUCCUGCUUCUGCUUCCCAAGUACUGGGAUUAAAGGCAUCCCCACUAAGGUGGCCCGGCUCGUGAGCUGCCAUGACCUGGCUUUCCUUUGUAGUGUGGGGUUUUUCCCCCAUGAUGUUUGGUUUCCUCGUGUUUUGAAAUAUUAUUAUUAUUAUUAUUACUA
Non-coding RNA from Myodes glareolus (Bank vole), 169 nucleotides. The record is from RefSeq and is a predicted model, not a curated record. NCBI's taxonomy places the organism in Eukaryota, Metazoa, Chordata, Mammalia, Rodentia, Cricetidae.